ACCCUACGGGGGGCAGCAGUGAGGAAUAUUGGUCAAUGGGGGAAACCCUGAUGCAGCGACGCCGCGUGAGCGAAGAAGUAUUUCGGUAUGUAAAGCUCUAUCAGCAGGGAAGAAAGAAAUGACGGUACCUGAGUAAGAAGCCCCGGCUAACUACGUGCCAGCAGCCGCGGUAAUACGUAGGGGGCAAGCGUUAUCCGGAAUUACUGGGUGUAAAGGGAGCGUAGACGGCGAUGCAAGUCUGAAGUGAAAGCCCGGGGCUCAACCCCGGGACUGCUUUGGAAACUGUAUGGCUGGAGUGCUGGAGG
Molecule: ribosomal RNA, 305 nt
Filed under: uncultured bacterium
Lineage: Bacteria
Description: bacterial SSU rRNA
Rfam family: Bacterial small subunit ribosomal RNA
Source: RNAcentral